UCUCCUGGAAACGGGUGGUAAUGCCGGAUGCUCCCGACUCCUCGCAUGGGGUGUCGGGAAAGAUUUCAUCGGUAUGGGAUGGGGUCGCGUCCUAUCAGGUAGUCGGCGGGGUAACGGCCCACCGAGCCUACGACGGGUAGCCGGCCUGAGAGGGCGACCGGCCACAUUGGGACUGAGAUACGGCCCAGACUCCUACGGGAGGCAGCAGUGGGGAAUAUUGCACAAUGGGCGCAAGCCUGAUGCAGCGACGCCGCGUGCGGGAUGACGGCCUUCGGGUUGUAAACCGCUUUUGAUCGGGAGCAAGCCUUCGGGUGAGUGUACCUUUCGAAUAAGCACCGGCUAACUACGUGCCAGCAGCCGCGGUAAUACGUAGGGUGCAAGCGUUAUCCGGAAUUAUUGGGCGUAAAGGGCUCGUAGGCGGUUCGUCGCGUCCGGUGUGAAAGUCCAUCGCUUAACGGUGGAUCUGCGCCGGGUACGGGCGGGCUGGAGUGCGGUAGGGGAGACUGGAAUUCCCGGUGUAACGGUGGAAUGUGUAGAUAUCGGGAAAGAACACCA
This 555-nucleotide ribosomal RNA is filed under the name Bifidobacterium pseudocatenulatum. RNAcentral's name for it is "bacterial SSU rRNA". It matches the Rfam family "Bacterial small subunit ribosomal RNA", at positions 146 to 711 of the family's 1533-position model. Lineage: Bacteria; Bacillati; Actinomycetota; Actinomycetes; Bifidobacteriales; Bifidobacteriaceae. The record is from RNAcentral.